Molecule: ribosomal RNA, 430 nt
Filed under: Fusobacteriota bacterium
Lineage: Bacteria; Fusobacteriati; Fusobacteriota
Description: Fusobacteria bacterium partial 16S ribosomal RNA
Rfam family: Bacterial small subunit ribosomal RNA
Source: RNAcentral
UAGGGAAUCUUCGGCAAUGGACGAAAGUCUGACCGAGCAACGCCGCGUGAGUGAAGAAGGUUUUCGGAUCGUAAAACUCUGUUGUUAGAGAAGAACAAGGAUGAGAGUAGAAUGUUCAUCCCUUGACGGUAUCUAACCAGAAAGCCACGGCUAACUACGUGCCAGCAGCCGCGGUAAUACGUAGGUGGCAAGAGUUGUCCGGAUUUCGUGGGCGUAAAGCGAGCGCAGGCGGUUUCUUAAGUCUGCUGUGAAAGCCCCCGGCUCAACCGGGGAGGGUCAUUGGAAACUGUGAAACUUGAGUGCAGAAGAGGAGAGUGGAAUUCCAUGUGUAGCGGUGAAAUGCGUAGAUAUAUGUAGGAACACCAGUGGCGAAGGCGGCUCUCUGGUCUGUAACUGACGCUGAGGCUCGAAAGCGUGGGGAGCAAACAGG